UCCCUGGUGGUCCAGUGGUUAAGACUCUGCACUUGCACUGCAGGGGGCAUGGGUUCGAUUCCUGGUCAGGGAA
This is a non-coding RNA of Aethalodelphis obliquidens (Pacific white-sided dolphin), 73 nucleotides long. NCBI's taxonomy places the organism in Eukaryota, Metazoa, Chordata, Mammalia, Artiodactyla, Delphinidae. The record is from the annotation of a RefSeq genome assembly.